AGUGAACGCUGGCGGUAGGCCUAACACAUGCAAGUCGAACGGCAGCACAGUAAGAGCUUGCUCUUACGGGUGGCGAGUGGCGGACGGGUGAGGAAUACAUCGGAAUCUACUUUUUCGUGGGGGAUAACGUAGGGAAACUUACGCUAAUACCGCAUACGACCUACGGGUGAAAGCAGGGGAUCUUCGGACCUUGCGCGAUUGAAUGAGCCGAUGUCGGAUUAGCUAGUUGGCGGGGUAAAGGCCCACCAAGGCGACGAUCCGUAGCUGGUCUGAGAGGAUGAUCGGCCACACUGGAACUGAGACACGGUCCAGACUCCUACGGGAGGCAGCAGUGGGGAAUAUUGGACAAUGGGCGAAAGCCUGAUCGAGCCAUGCCGCGUGGGUGAAGAAGGCCUUCGGGUUGUAAAGCCCUUUUGUUGGGGAAGAAAAGAAGCAGAUUAAAACCCCGCUGUUCUGACGGUACCCAAAGAGUAAGCACCGGCUAACUACGUG
This 492-nucleotide ribosomal RNA is filed under the name uncultured bacterium. RNAcentral describes it as "partial 16S ribosomal RNA". It matches the Rfam family "Bacterial small subunit ribosomal RNA", at positions 29 to 507 of the family's 1533-position model. The record is from RNAcentral.